Erythranthe guttata (spotted monkey flower) is the source of this 533-nucleotide non-coding RNA. The record is from RefSeq and is a predicted model, not a curated record. NCBI's taxonomy places the organism in Eukaryota, Viridiplantae, Streptophyta, Magnoliopsida, Lamiales, Phrymaceae.
UCAAUAUCUUGUUUUAUAGGAAAUUGCUGUUGACAUAGUCCAGAAGAAGGAAUCUAAUGAAGAAGGGUCAAGUAUAUUCAAUAAGAGUGUGAACUCGAUUGUGAGCAUAGAAGAGACGGUGGCGGUGGUAGAAGAGUAUACCAGCAACGAGAAAAAUUGCCAAUGCUCAUUUUCUGCGCUUGUAAUGGAGACCUCGCCUGAAGAGUGUCGAGUAAAAGAGCCACUUUCUGCCCCGUUUUAAGAUAUUAUUUUAAUAAAUAAAUGAAAAAUUAAAUUAGUAUUCAUGACGUUUGAGAUAAGUACAUAUUUGAGUUUUAUUUAAUUUUCCUAUUGACAAUGUUAAGGUGCACAUUAUUAUUAUUAAAUUUAUUGCAUUUCUCUAUUUUGCUAAAGUAAAUAAGGAUGGCUAGAGACUAGAGUAUGGAGGUUAUAAUUAAUGUUGCACUCAAAGAUAUGCAGACAAUCCUUACCUAAUAUGUAAAAAAUAUAUAUACAUCAUUCUAUAUAUAUUAGUACUUAUCAUUUUAUACUUA